UGGGGAAUAUUGCGCAAUGGGGGAAACCCUGACGCAGCCACGCCGCGUGGGUGAUGAAGGCCUUCGGGUCGUAAAGCCCUGUCGGGAGGGACGAAUUCAUGACGGUACCUCCAAAGAAAGCACCGGCUAACUCCGUGCCAGCAGCCGCGGUAAUACGGAGGGUGCGAGCGUUGCUCGGAAUUACUGGGCGUAAAGCGUACGCAGGCUGCUGUACAAGUCGGGUGUGAAAGCCCGGGGCUCAACCCCGGAAAUGCGCCCGAGACUGUACGGCUUGAAUGCGGGAGAGGAUAGCGGAAUUCCUGGUGUAGAGGUGAAAUUCGUAGAUAUCAGGAGGAACACCUGUGGCGAAAGCGGCUAUCUGGCCCGACAUUGACGCUCAUGUACGAAAGCGCGGGGAGCA
Molecule: ribosomal RNA, 400 nt
Filed under: uncultured bacterium
Lineage: Bacteria
Description: bacterial SSU rRNA
Rfam family: Bacterial small subunit ribosomal RNA
Source: RNAcentral